AUUUCAGGCCAGAUUUCUCACCGUUAGGGGUCAGAAGUGCUGAUCAAUUUUGUUUAAACUGGCCGUCGGGAAGAGAUUACCACUACAAAGGGAACGAAAACACUAGCAAAAUAGUAGAAAUAGUUAGAAGAGUAAACGCACAGCGAUUUCUGUCUAUUUCCCACAAUUGGACAGAAAUUUGACUUCCACAAUCACCAUGAUAGAUUACCCGUGAUUAAUUAAGACAAUAACCGGAAAUCCACGCGAAGAACAAGUUAAUUCGGAUCAAAAUUGAAAAAUCCCCAAAAACUGAAAUUAGGGUUCUUACCAAUAGUGCAAUCAUACAAACAAAAAUGGCUAAGUCACCACAUCAUCAAAUGUUUCUUAAAUAAAAAGAUUACCCAAGAACUUGACCCCAAAAUAAAAGAUAACAGUGCUAGGGACAAUUCCUAAAAAUGAGUUCUUGUUCAAAUUCAAGCAAGAGAUUGGAGUUAAUUCGAACUAAAAUCAAAUUUCUGAAGAACAAGUCAAUUCGGAUCAAAAUUGAAAAAUCCCCAAAAACUGAAAUUAGGGUUCUUACCUUGGGUGUAGCGGAAUUUAAGUGAAACUGAACCCACAAGCCUAAGAUUUUGAUGAAAUAUGAAGAUUGAAGCCAAGUUUUGCAAGUGAUUUCAAAAGGUUUGAUGAAAAAAAUGAAAAUUUUGCGGUGAAAAUGGGGGGAGGGGCGGCGGGUUUAAGAGCAAAGAGGGAGAGAAAUUGUGAAGUGGGCUGACAGAUUCUUUUUUCCAUUUAUUUAUCUUUUAUUUUUUUUUAUGACUGACCUCGUGGCUGCUGCCAAGGUGCGUGGCCGCGGCUAUCUUAAAAGAUUUUUUAUUUUUUUUGUUAAAGUUAACCUUCCACUUAAAUCCUUAAAAAUCAAAUGAAUAAAAAAUUAAAGAAGGCGAAGCCCUCUUAUCCAUUCAAUUAGGGGACUGAAAUGCAAUUUUCCCCAUAAAUGCACCAAACCUAGUUAAAGCUCCCUCCUUGUGCCACCUCUUUCCUUCCCAUGUAUUGACAAGUUUUCGGGAAGAUUGUGUCACCUGGUGGCGCUGAUUUUCACGCGGCGGCGCUAGGGUUUGAGAAUAUUCACGAUUUUGAGUUGGGAUUCAAUUGUCAGUGAUCUAAUCUUUCAAUUACUGCUGUAAUCGAUCAUAGGUAAUCUACCCAUCAUGUAUCUGAUUGGGGCUGUUUAUGGUUAAUUUUUGUGGUGGUAGUUGCAAUUUUGCGUUUGCUGCUACGCGUUUGCACUGAUUUAUUAAACAUUUCAUCAAUGUUCUUGGAGCUUUGGAUACUUCGAUUAAGAUUUAUGGGGGUUGAGUUGUUUUUGGUGCUUGAAUCAAAGCAAUUCUUUGCAUUUCUUGGCGAAUAAAAGCAAGUCGCGGCGGUGGGAGCAGCGGGGACAGUCGGAGCAGCGGUGGCAAACUGCUUUUAACCCUAUAAAAUUUGAACCCUUCUCGAUUCAAAUCGUUGAAUAAAUCGUAAAUUUAUAUAAAAAAACAUAAGAUUUACGAUAAUGAUGUAAUACACCAAUAAAAUAUGCACUGAAAGUUUACAUUGGGACAAAAUACACACGGAUAUAAUAAUAAUAAUAAUAAUAAUAAUAAUAAUAAUAAUAAUAAUAAUAAUAAUAAUAAUAAUAAUAAUAAUAAUAAUAAUAAUAAUAAUAAUAAUAAUAAUAAUAAUAAUAAUAAUAAUAAUAAUAAUAAUAAUAAUAAUAAUAAUAAUAAUAAUAAUAAUAAUAAUAAUAAUAAUAAUAAUAAUAAUAAUAAUAAUAAUAAUAAUAAUAAUAAUAAUAAUAAUAAUAAUAAUAAUAAUAAUAAUAAUAAAUUACAAACACCCCCUGAGAUAUGGUCAAAUUACAAAAAUCCCCCUCUUGUUUGAAUAAUUACAUCUACCCCCCUCAACUAUGAUUUUUUCUUAGACCUCCACCUUUAUGGUGCCAAAUUCAACAUAGUCAUCUAGAUUCCGUGAAAUGUGCUCUAGUUUGUACUCUUUUUGUGUAAAAAAUACAGUUUUCGAUGCACCACAAACUGAUAUAUACAAGCUAAAUAUCACAUAUUAUGAUCAUCUUGCUUCAUAAUAUAGUGUUUGAAUGGGAUAAAACGGGUACAAAAGUGAUAAUAUUCCAUAUAAUCUCGAAGAUUCCACUAAAUUUGAUGAGUUGAGGGGGUGGUUGUAAUUAUCCAAACAAGAGGGGUGUUUUUGUAAUUUGACCAUACCUCAGGGGGGUGUUUGUAAUUUACCCUAAUAAUAAUAAUAAUAGUAAUAGUAAUAGUAAUAGUAGUAGUAGUAGUAGUAGUAGUAGUAGUAGUAGUAGUAGUAGUAGUAGUAGUAGUAGUAGUAAUAGUAAUAGUAAUAGUAAUAGUAAUAGUAAUAGUAAUAGUAAUAGUAAUAGUAAUAGUAAUAAUAAUAGUAAUAAUAAUAAUACAAAAGAAUUAGUUUCUAGCAACAAUUAUAUUUAUAUUCACAACAAAAUUAUAUUCGCAAGAGUUUUAUUUUUUUGCGAAUAGUAUAUUACCUGUGUAGAAAAUUUCAUCGCAACGCCACAAAGGGAGUGAUAAAAAAAUACAUUCUUCUUGCAAAUAUAAUAAAAUUGUUGCGUGGUGCACCGGUGCUAAUGGUAAAUCGAAAUAUUGAUGAGUUCAUGUAUGUAAAUUAAUCCAUAAUAUAUUGAUUUGCUUAGAAAAGAUUGCAAUAUCAUAUUUAUUUUAAAUAAUUCUAUUUUUUCUUGAAUGAAUAUUUAUAUUCGUCCGAGUUUGUGCAUUUUUAGGGUCGUUUAUCGAGUUGAUUUGGUGAUUACUCACCGAUGAUAUUGUAACAACAAAUUCUUAUCUGCGAUAUAAACAAACAAGAAAAAUUGAACAAAGAUGAUUUUAUUGAAUUAAAAUAAAUAAAUUGCGGGUUACAAUCUCUAUUUUAAUCCUCUGAUUCUUCUCUCUAGAACAAUAUAUAGUUGACUUGAAUUUUCGGAGUCGGGUCGUUGACUUGAUCUUCUCCGGAUUUGAUUUUGGAUUUGAAUAACGUUUUCCAAGGGUCUUGCGACUUGAAUCUCGGAUCGAACGUUGAACUUUGACUAAAUUUGACUUGAAGAUCUUGAAGUUCUUGAUGGAUUUGGCCCUUCAAUCUUCCAAUGAUCUUGACUUGAAUUUGAUUAACGUUAAUCCGAAGGUUUGGCACCGUUUCGGAUCGAACGCUGGAUUUGAUGAAAAAUGCCUUGAAUUUGCUCAAGAACACCUCGAAUUUGACGAAGAACACUUUGAAUGUAGAGAGAGAAUCUUACCUCCUACGAAUUCUUCUUCCUUGCUUCUGAAUUGUAGAGAGAAUUUCGCUCCUACGAUUUCUGCUCCUUCAGUUGUGUUUGAAUUGUGAAGGGAGGGUCCCUAUUUAUAGUGGCAGAACAAGAGUUCUUGAUGGGCCUUACUGAUGAUGUGGCACGAUUUGAUUGGCUCGAUUUAAAUUGAUAUUUAUCUCUUGUAACUUGGAAGAAAAAAAAUAAUCUGAUUGGCCAAUAAUUAAUUGAUAUUUAUUUCUUAUAACUUGUGAAAGAAGAAAUAAUUCUAUUGGUCAAUAUAUAUUUAAAAUCAAUUAUCUAUUUAAAUUAAGAAUUAAUUAAAAUUCUUAAUAUUAAAAUAGAAAACAUAUAAUUGAUAUUUAAUAUAUAUAAUAUAUAUAUGAUUUUUACGCAUUGAUAUAUAUAUAUAUAAAUGACUUUGAAUGCUUAAUUACAUAUUUGCCACUUGAAUAAAUUCACUCGGCUCUAUGAAAAUUAGCAAUUUAAUUGCUUGAAAAUUUGUUCGUCUACAGAUAUAUUUGGGAAUUAGAAUUUUCACGGCGAAGGAAAUAUUCUGGUAGUGUAUUUAUAUUUGUCGCUCUUAAGUGAUAAUAAAAAUAAAAUUCCUAAAAUAUUAAAAAAUGUUUUGAAAAUAUACAAAAACUAUUACGCUGAUUGGGUUUGAGUUUUAGUUUUAUUUCAAAUUUUGUUUAAUAGUUUUUUAACUUUUUUAUAUUUUCCAAACAUAGUUUAAUAGAUACACGGUGCAUCUUCUGGUCAAAUUAUAUUAAUUUGGUGAGUGAAAUAUCAAUUGAAAGUCGUUGGAACCAUUAACUUUUCUGCACUCGCGUCUCCUCCGAGCGGCGAUUAGACAUCAAUUGAAGUGGUUGAAAUUAUUAAUUGCCUAAUGUAUUACUUGCGUUCCCACAAGAGAAAACAUGAAGAGGAGAGAAAGACGAAGAGAAGACGAGGAAGACGAAGUGGAUUACUUGCGACCCGACCGCCGAGUCCAUUGCUUCUAGUAGCACUCCGGUAAAUUGUGUUCUGCUUUUCUCUGUUUUUUCGAAAUAAUGUUGGUCUUAGUGUCAUAUACUUUGGAGGUGCGAUAUACUUUCGUAAAUUUCUACUAUUCGCUUAGCCACUUUUUUUGCAGCUUUUUCAUUUGUUAGAAAGCUGUUUAGAGGUUGUAAUAGCAAGGAAACAUCCUUUUUUGUGUGGCUCUGCUUUUCUCUGUUUUUUCGAAAUUAUGUUGGUCUUAGUGUCAUAUACUUUGGAGGUGCGAUAUACUUUCUUAAGCAGAAAUCGAAGCGACAAAAAGAGGUGAAAUCGUAAAUUUCUACUAUAAGCCGCUAGUUCUAGUUUUUGGGUCCAUGAACACGAGUCUUCAAUGGUUUAGUACCCUCAGCGAAGUUUAGCCACUUUUUUUGCAGUUUUUUCGUUUGUUAGAAAGCUGUUUAGAGGUUGUAAUAGGAAGGAAACAUCCUUUUUGUGUGGCUAUCUUAGCUGAGAGGUUAACUGUGGGUGCUGGACUUUGAAGAUUCUUGUAAGUGGCCCUGUUUUUAAUGUUUUUAGCUUCUGAACUACUAGCUAGGGUUGAAGCUUGUCCUGUGGAUCUUUGUAGUGUCUUUGUUAAGGUUGUUUUACGGUUGCUGUUGGCAGUUUCACAGAAUGUGCUUUGGCCGUGGGAGCCAUUUGUUUUGCUCUGCCAUGACGACCAAUUUUUAUUUUGCCGAGCACUAGUUUUGCAGGUUUCUCUCCUGACCCUGUCAGGAUCGAUUACUUGGUUCUAAAUUUAUAUGUGACAUAAUCUUGCUUCUUGUUCCUUAUCUUAUUCAUAAGUUUGAUUUUGUCUUGUUUAUUUAUCGUAGAUGCCAGCCCAUUGGAAUAUUCCCGAUGUGUCAACACUCUCCUAACUAUGCCACAAAAUGGUAGAAGACUCCGGUUUACAAGAAAACCUUCGUCAUCUACGUUGGGAAGAGAUCAGUAAGUCUUUCCAUGACAAAGGAAGUGUAUUUUCACCACAACAAUGUAAAGACAAGUUUGACAGAUGAGAAGCACGUGGCUGACAUUUUACAAGAAGAGGGCCAAAGUUGGUCGUGAGUCUUAUGGUUUGGAGAUUGACGACAACACCGGGAUGCUAAUUGGUACCGUGCCAGACAUGUCAGCCCACCUCCAUGUAAUUUAGGAUGCUGAUUUUGUGUGUUCUUUUAUUGCUGAAUAUAUAAAUUUCUUACUGAUUUUGUUUCAUUUUUUUUUUCAGGAGGCUGGUAAAAGGGCAUUUAAAUGCUUCUUGGCAGAUCCGGACCUCUUCGACAAGUGCACGGACAUAUUCAUCAAGCACACUUCCAGAGCAGCUUUAACCUAUUCGAAGCAGAUAACCGGUAGCAGCAAGCGGGGUGCCGAUGAAAUGCAAACUUCCACUUUGCGGAAUCAGAGACAGAAGACUGACGACGUGGCGAAGGUUCCUUCUUUUACGGAAUGCUAUCAUAUAUUAAAGGCCAUACCAGGGUGCCGACGUCGUGGCGAAGCUUGUGGUACUGCUAAUAAAUGCCGACUCUAGUGAAAUGUUUGCGUUAUUAACUCCGGAGGAGAGGCUCCAUUGGGUCAAAAAUAACUAAUGAAAACAAAUUUUAACAUUUUUAAUUAUUUGUAUGUCCGACUAUUUGUAUAAUUUCGUACUUGUUUUAUUUUGGUUGUUACUUAAAACAUUAUUAAUAUUGUAACAACCGACCAAUUUUCCAAGUUGGGUUGGUUGUAUAGUGUUCUUAACAUUAUUAUUA
This 6069-nucleotide long non-coding RNA is filed under the name Erythranthe guttata (spotted monkey flower). RNAcentral describes it as "long non-coding RNA (EGUT_LNC003270)". Lineage: Eukaryota; Viridiplantae; Streptophyta; Magnoliopsida; Lamiales; Phrymaceae. The record is from RNAcentral.